AUCCCUGUAGCGCAAUGGCCCAUUGGACUUUUAAUCCAAAAGUCGUGGAUUCGAAUCCCACCUGGGAUA
Molecule: non-coding RNA, 69 nt
Organism: Trichonephila clavipes
Lineage: Eukaryota; Metazoa; Arthropoda; Arachnida; Araneae; Nephilidae
Source: the annotation of a GenBank genome assembly